RNAcentral lists this ribosomal RNA (500 nucleotides) under uncultured Myrionecta. Its description in RNAcentral is "SSU rRNA". It matches the Rfam family "Eukaryotic small subunit ribosomal RNA", at positions 33 to 596 of the family's 1831-position model. Lineage: Eukaryota; Ciliophora; Litostomatea; Cyclotrichida; Mesodiniidae. The record is from RNAcentral.
GUCGUCUAAGACUAUGCCAUGCACGUCUAAGUACAAACUAAAUGAUGGUGAAACUGCAAAUGGCUCAUUACAACGGUUAUGAUGUACCCGGGAGUUCCGAUGGAUAUUUCCAGUAACACUACAACUAAUACAUGUCCCUGCGUUUAUUACCUUCGCACAGUCCGUCGCUGAGUCAUGGUAAACAGUUGAUCGACUCGACGUCCCGGAACAGUUUCCGCCCCAUCAACUUCGAUGGUUGGGUAUUGGCCUACCAUUGCAACAACGGGUAACGAGGAAUUAGGGUUUGAUUUCCGAGAGGGAGCCUGAUAAACGGCUACCACAUCUACGGAUGGCAGCAGGCGCGCAAAUUACCCAAUGCAGACACUGUGAGGUAGUGACGAGAAAUAAUAAAGCGGGACUUCUGUUUCGCUAUUAUAAUGAGGAAUAACCAAAGGUCAUUCCGAUUAGCAACUGAUGGGAAAGUCUGGUGCCAGCAGCCGCGGUAAUACCAUCGUCAGUAU